RNAcentral lists this ribosomal RNA (253 nucleotides) under uncultured bacterium. RNAcentral describes it as "partial 16S ribosomal RNA". It matches the Rfam family "Bacterial small subunit ribosomal RNA", at positions 524 to 776 of the family's 1533-position model. The record is from RNAcentral.
UACGAAGGAUGCAAGCGUUAUCCGGAUUUAUUGGGCUUAAAGGGUGCGUAGGCGGACUUAUAAGUCAGUGGUGAAAUCUCGUUGCUUAACAACGAACGUGCCAUUGAUACUGUAGGUCUUGAGUACAGAUGCCGUUGGCGGAAUGUGUCAUGUAGCGGUGAAAUGCAUAGAUAUGACACAGAACACCGAUUGCGAAGGCAGCUGACGAAACUGUAACUGACGCUGAGGCACGAAAGCGUGGGGAGCAAACAGG